This 614-nucleotide ribosomal RNA is filed under the name uncultured marine bacterium. RNAcentral's name for it is "bacterial SSU rRNA". It matches the Rfam family "Bacterial small subunit ribosomal RNA", at positions 8 to 603 of the family's 1533-position model. The record is from RNAcentral.
AGAGUUUGAUCCUGGCUCAGGAUGAACGCUGGCGGCGUGCCUAAUACAUGCAAGUCGAGCGAACUGAUUAGAAGCUUGCUUCUAUGACGUUAGCGGCGGACGGGUGAGUAACACGUGGGCAACCUGCCUGUAAGACUGGGAUAACUUCGGGAAACCGAAGCUAAUACCGGAUAGGAUCUUCUCCUUCAUGGGAGAUGAUUGAAAGAUGGUUUCGGCUAUCACUUACAGAUGGGCCCGCGGUGCAUUAGCUAGUUGGUGAGGUAACGGCUCACCAAGGCAACGAUGCAUAGCCGACCUGAGAGGGUGAUCGGCCACACUGGGACUGAGACACGGCCCAGACUCCUACGGGAGGCAGCAGUAGGGAAUCUUCCGCAAUGGACGAAAGUCUGACGGAGCAACGCCGCGUGAGUGAUGAAGGCUUUCGGGUCGUAAAACUCUGUUGUUAGGGAAGAACAAGUACGAGAGUAACUGCUCGUACCUUGACGGUACCUAACCAGAAAGCCACGGCUAACUACGUGCCAGCAGCCGCGGUAAUACGUAGGUGGCAAGCGUUAUCCGGAAUUAUUGGGCGUAAAGCGCGCGCAGGCGGUUUCUUAAGUCUGAUGUGAAAGCCC